Long non-coding RNA from Pyrus x bretschneideri (Chinese white pear), 4591 nucleotides. RefSeq lists it as uncharacterized. The transcript has 14 exons. The record is from RefSeq and is a predicted model, not a curated record. NCBI's taxonomy places the organism in Eukaryota, Viridiplantae, Streptophyta, Magnoliopsida, Rosales, Rosaceae.
CUUCUCUCUCCCAUUUCUCUCAACCUAGCCCCAGCGCUGCUCACCCCAUUCCUCUUCAUCAUCUCAGUUAAAUCCGUUCAACAAUCACCGAUGCACCUCCACACGAACCCAUAUCGAAUUUUCCUCCUGCCCACGAACCAACCUCCAUUUCGUGGAUCCACCUUCGUUGCAAGUCGCCGACACCCACAAAUGAACUCAGAUACGACCAUCAAAAGUAGGGCGGAGCUCUUGAAGAUGUCAGAUUUGAGAAGGGAAAAGGAGCGGAGCGGAAUUUAAAAUGCGCGAGCUCUGCUUCCAGGCCUCCCCGAAACGCUUGCAGAAAGGUAGGUGGUUGGAUGGGAGUGGACGUAGGAGUAGGAAGUGUUACGAGGAGGGGAGGUAGUAGCCUCAUCUGCUGUGUUGCAGUAGUGAAGUGAUUAGACGUCGGUAUGGCAUCUGCUAGCCUAGGGAAUGGUGGAGUUGGCAGUUCAAGUGAUGGAUUUUCGAAUGAAAUGCACUCAACCCUAAAUUCCAGUGGGGGUGGCUGAAGCAGUUGCCGGAUAUGACUUAUGGCAGCCAAGUUUGGGAGUCAAAAUGACCACACUACCCCGUCAAGGGUUCAGAUCUUGCCGUCAGGUGAUAUGAGAGAGGGGGUUUGAUUGCCCAAUUGGUUGUUUCAUCAAUUAAUUGUGUGCAAACAUUUAUGUGUAAUUUUUUACUUCUUCCACUUAAAUGGUAAGAUCAAAUUAAGCUAAGAACUUUGGGUUUUGUAAAUGUUGUGUAAUUUAAUUAUUCAUAUUAUCAAUUAAUUUUGAGCAAACAUUUCUGGGUAGUUGUUAAUUUCCCUCAAUAUUUGAUAAUAAUUAAAUUAAAGCUGAGAACUUUGUAUUUUGUUCAUUACCUGCCGUAGAUUUUACUUGACAGAGAAAAUGUAUUUUCCUUGAUAUUAUUCAUGUUUUGUUUUCUUUCAGAUCGCAUUGUAAUGGGUCUCUUUGGAAAAACAAUUCUUAAGACCAAUUGUGAGGUUUGUUCUUAUAUCGUACAUGAGUGUUUUUAUAACUCUUUUGCACAAUUGUUAGUAUUUGUAGUUGUGAUUGGUGUUGUCUUGCAUGUUUGUCUUGAAGAAAUAAGACAUUACUUUUGAUAAACCAUAUUGGGAGUGAAGGAAUCUCUUUUUGACCUGGUCAUCUUGGAGUACAUUUCUACUAACUUGGUACACUAUGGAAAUUCAUGAACUCUUUUAAUGCAUUCAAAAUAUUAUUUUGUAUGAUUUUUUACAUACGUUUGUGGAUGAAGGGUUUAGGUGCUCUGAAAAUGCCCACCCUUAUUUUUUUUACACCAAGUGUAUAUGGCAACCCAGGCAUUCCAACUUGCUCAGGGACAUACUUCAUUUAAGGAAAAGCCUGAAAUAAUGUUGUCAAGUGCUAUACUGAAGCUAUCAGAUUGAACAUGAUGUGUGCAACUUAGAUUGCAACCAUGCAAUUGCUUACUUGGAGAUUUAUUCUCUACGAUUCUCUGGUUAGGGUAAGCAUUUUGGUGAGCUUUGAUUUUGUGAGGCAAAGCGCGGGCAGUCCUGCUAGUUAUCUAUUCUAAAACUAGGGAGCAAUUGACUGUUCAUUGGGCUACAGUCAAUUGUUUGCCCCUCGAUUUCACGCUAUUUACAACAAAAGCCAUCAGAUCUGGGCUGGGUUGGGAAGGUAUUUCUUAAAAGUUAGGGGGUAAUUGUGUCCGUGUGUUUGAGCCGAAUUUCACUUUAUUUACAAAAUUGCCACCGCCUUUUCUCUCCCUCUUUCUCUCUCCCGACUCUGUCGAUAACCAUCCAUCAAAUCGCCCAUCCUUUCCUUUUCUCACUCUAUGAGCUCAUUUCCUACAACCCUAGCACUGUUUCUCUCUUAUUUCUCUCAAAUUCGAGACUUCUCUCUCCCAUUUCUCUCAACCUAGCCCCAGCGCUGCUCACCCCAUUCCUCUUCAUCAUCUCAGUUAAAUCCAUUCAACAAUCACCGAUGCACCUCCACACGAACCCAUAUCGAAUUUUCCUCUUGCCCACGAACCAACCUCCAUUUCGUGGAUCCACCUUUGUUGCAAGUCGCCGACACCCACAAAUGAACUCAGAUACGACCAUCAAAAGUAGGGCGGAGCUCUCGAAGAUGUCAGAUUUGAGAAGGGAAAAGGAGCGGAGCGGAAUUUAAAAUGCGCGAGCUCUGCUUCCAGGCCUCCCCAAAACGCUUGCAGAAAGGUAGGUGCUUGGAUGGGAGUGGACGUAGGAGCAGGAAGUGUUACGAGGAGGGGAGGUAGUAGCCUCAUCUGCUGUGUUGCAGUAGUGAAGUGAUUAGACGUCGGUAUGGCAUCUGCUAGCCUAGGGAAUGGUGGAGUUGGCAGUUCAAGUGGGCCUGGAAGUGAUUUUCCUGGAACGGGAAAGGUAAUCGAGAUUAGUCUCUGAUUGUUUGAUCAUCCUAUAUAUAUUUGAUGAAGCUUCAACUAGCUUUUACCAGACAACCCCUCAUUUCUUUAUGUGAUGGAUUUUCGAAUGAAAUGCACUCAACCCUAAAUUCCAGUGGGGGUGGCUGAAGCAGUUGCCGGAUAUGACUUAUGGCAGCCAAGGGAUCACUACAGUUUGGGAGUCAAAAUGACCACACUACCCCGUCAAGGGUUCAGAUCUUGCCGUCAGGUGAUAUGAGAGAGGGGGUUUGAUUGCCCAAUUGGUUGUUUCAUCAAUUAAUUGUGUGCAAACAUUUAUGUGUAAUUUUUUACUUCUUCCACUUAAAAGGUAAGAUCAAAUUAAGCUAAGAACUUUGGGUUUUGUAAAUGUUGUGUAAUUUAAUUAUUCAUAUUAUCAAUUAAUUUUGAGCAAACAUUUCUGGGUAGUUGUUAAUUUCCCUCAAUAUUUGAUAAUAAUUAAAUUAAAGCUGAGAACUUUGUAUUUUGUUCAUUACCUGCCGUAGAUUUUACUUGACAGAGAAAAUGUAUUUUCCUUGAUAUUAUUCAUGUUUUGUUUUCUUUCAGAUCGCAUUGUAAUGGGUCUCUUUGGAAAAACAAUUCUUAAGACCAAUUGUGAGGUUUGUUCUUAUAUCGUACAUGAGUGUUUUUAUAACUCUUUUGCACAAUUGUUAGUAUUUGUAGUUGUGAUUGGUGUUGUCUUGCAUGUUUGUCUUGAAGAAAUAAGACAUUACUUUUGAUAAACCAUAUUGGGAGUGAAGGAAUCUCUUUUUGACCUGGUCAUCUUGGAGUACAUUUCUACUAACUUGGUACACUAUGGAAAUUCAUGAACUCUUUUAAUGCAUUCAAAAUAUUAUUUUGUAUGAUUUUUUACAUACGUUUGUGGAUGAAGGGUUUAGGUGCUCUGAAAAUGCCCACCCUUAUUUUUUUUACACCAAGUGUAUAUGGCAACCCAGGCAUUCCAACUUGCUCAGGUACUUCAAUCUUUUCAGUUUUUGGUAAUUUUUGCCCCUGUUUGGUUGCUGGGAAGGAGAGGGAAAAUAAGGGAAAUCAUCAAAGUUGAUACAUAUCAUUUGUUUUUAGUCACAUUGAUUUUUAUUGUGAGAAAUUAUGUGAUUAUUUUUUUAUAAUUACCUGUGGAAUUGAAUAGUAUUAGCUAAAGCUCUCCCACUGCUCAGUUGCAUCUAUAUUAAGAAAUUGCUGAGUAGAUGGACUACAAAACUCAAAUUCCCUCCUUCUGUAUAUUUGCAGUUGCUUUUCCAUGUAAAUCUUCUCUUGCAAAGAAAUUCAAAGGCCUCUAAUUGUAUUCAUGGACUAUAACUGUAAUUAUACAAUGUACAUUAUUAUUUAAAUAUAAAAAGGUAUAAUUUAUAUAUAGUCAAUUUAGACUCAUUAAAAUAUACAAUCUUUAAAUACAAAAGUAAAUUUGAAAGAAGUUGAAGUAAUAUAUGAAUGCUAUGUGAUUUAUUAUGUUCAAAAUUGAAAUUGGAAUCAUGCUGUUCUUUGAUAUGAAUGAAGUGUGGUGUUCUCCUUCAAAAAGUUGAAAUUAGGUCUCUCCAUCCCCUUAAUUUCAUUUUCUAUUAGCAAAGAACUGGGAUACCAAUGUACUUAUGUGUAUUGUUUCAAUUUCUAUGUUUGCUAAUCUUUUCCCAGGGAAAUACUUCAUUUAAGGAAAAGCCUGAAAUAAUGUUGUCAAGUGCUAUAUUGAAGCUAUCAGAUUGAACAUGAUGUGUGCAACUUAGAUUGCAACCAUGCAAUUGCUUACUUGGAGAUUUAUUCUCUACGAUUCUCUGGUUAGGGUAAGCAUUUUGGUGAGCUUUGAUUUUGUGAGGGUAAGCUCUUAAUCUUUCCUCUAUCGUUUUGUAGUUCAUCCUAUUGUUUUAAUUUAGAGCUAUUUUAAUGCUUUUAUGUUUGUCGUUCCGUGCUGGGAAAUUGGAAAGCUCUGGAAACAAUAUAGUUCUUGAGCUAAUGUGAAGAUUUUGGGUUGAACAUUGUGCUGUGAAGAUAUUGGGUUUAAUAUUUGAUUCCGUUUUUCAUUUUGCACUUACAAAAACAGAGGAUUGUGGUUAAUUAUUGUGAUGUGAAGCUUCUAUUUGAUGACGACUUAAUGAGUAGCGAUGUAAAUUAAACUACGUAUUUUAUGGAUCAAUUCACAUAUCUCUUGCUUUUUCUUUCA